Molecule: ribosomal RNA, 368 nt
Filed under: uncultured organism
Description: bacterial SSU rRNA
Rfam family: Bacterial small subunit ribosomal RNA
Source: RNAcentral
CGGAGGAUGCAAGCGUUAUCCGGAUUUAUUGGGUUUAAAGGGUGCGUAGGCGGAUAAAUAAGUCAGUGGUGAAAGCCUGCAGCUCAACUGUAGAAUUGCCAUUGAUACUGUUUAUCUUGAGUACAGCUGAGGUGGGCGGAAUAUGACAUGUAGCGGUGAAAUGCUUAGAUAUGUCAUAGAACACCGAUUGCGAAGGCAGCUCACUAAACUGUUACUGACGCUGAGGCACGAAAGCGUGGGGAGCAAACAGGAUUAGAUACCCUGGUAGUCCACGCCCUAAACUAUGAUCACUCGAUGUUGGCGAUACACUGUCAGCGUCUAAGGGAAACCAUUAAGUGAUCCACCUGGGGAGUACGGUCGCAAGACUG